This 253-nucleotide ribosomal RNA is filed under the name uncultured bacterium. Its description in RNAcentral is "partial 16S ribosomal RNA". It matches the Rfam family "Bacterial small subunit ribosomal RNA", at positions 524 to 776 of the family's 1533-position model. The record is from RNAcentral.
UACGUAGGGCGCAAGCGUUGUCCGGAAUUACUGGGCGUAAAGCGUGCGCAGGCGGUGAUGUAAGACAGUUGUGAAAGCCCCGGGCUCAACCUGGGAACUGCAUUUGAAACUGGCGGGCUUGAGUAUGGCAGAGGGGGGUGGAAUUCCGCGUGUAGCAGUGAAAUUCGUAGAUAUUCGGAGGAACACCAGUGGCGAAGGCGGCUCACUGGUCCGGUACUGACGCUGAGGUGCGAAAGCGUGGGGAGCAAACAGG